This 474-nucleotide ribosomal RNA is filed under the name Shigella flexneri. RNAcentral describes it as "partial 23S ribosomal RNA". It matches the Rfam family "Bacterial large subunit ribosomal RNA", at positions 2390 to 2858 of the family's 2925-position model. Lineage: Bacteria; Pseudomonadati; Pseudomonadota; Gammaproteobacteria; Enterobacterales; Enterobacteriaceae. The record is from RNAcentral.
CGAGCAGGUGCGAAAGCAGGUCAUAGUGAUCCGGUGGUUCUGAAUGGAAGGGCCAUCGCUCAACGGAUAAAAGGUACUCCGGGGAUAACAGGCUGAUACCGCCCAAGAGUUCAUAUCGACGGCGGUGUUUGGCACCUCGAUGUCGGCUCAUCACAUCCUGGGGCUGAAGUAGGUCCCAAGGGUAUGGCUGUUCGCCAUUUAAAGUGGUACGCGAGCUGGGUUUAGAACGUCGUGAGACAGUUCGGUCCCUAUCUGCCGUGGGCGCUGGAGAACUGAGGGGGGCUGCUCCUAGUACGAGAGGACCGGAGUGGACGCAUCACUGGUGUUCGGGUUGUCAUGCCAAUGGCACUGCCCGGUAGCUAAAUGCGGAAGAGAUAAGUGCUGAAAGCAUCUAAGCACGAAACUUGCCCCGAGAUGAGUUCUCCCUGACCCUUUAAGGGUCCUGAAGGAACGUUGAAGACGACGACGUUGAUA